This 433-nucleotide ribosomal RNA is filed under the name uncultured bacterium. RNAcentral describes it as "partial 16S ribosomal RNA". It matches the Rfam family "Bacterial small subunit ribosomal RNA", at positions 29 to 507 of the family's 1533-position model. The record is from RNAcentral.
AGCGAACGCUGGCGGCAGGCCUAACACAUGCAAGUCGAACGGAUCCUUCGGGAUUAGUGGCGGACGGGUGAGUAACACGUGGGAACGUGCCCUUUGGUUCGGAACAACUCAGGGAAACUUGAGCUAAUACCGGAUGUGCCCUUCGGGGGAAAGAUUUAUCGCCAUUGGAGCGGCCCGCGUCUGAUUAGCUAGUUGGUGAGGUAACGGCCCACCAAGGCGACGAUCAGUAGCUGGUCUGAGAGGAUGAUCAGCCACACUGGGACUGAGACACGGCUCAGACUCCUACGGGAGGCAGCAGUGGGGAAUCUUGCGCAAUGGGCGAAAGCCUGACGCAGCCAUGCCGCGUGAAUGAUGAAGGUCUUAGGAUUGUAAAAUUCUUUCAGCGGGGACGAUAAUGACGGUACCCGCAGAAGAAGCUCCGGCUAACUUCGUG